RNAcentral lists this ribosomal RNA (876 nucleotides) under uncultured Sebacinales. RNAcentral describes it as "eukaryotic LSU rRNA". It matches the Rfam family "Eukaryotic large subunit ribosomal RNA", at positions 115 to 981 of the family's 3401-position model. Lineage: Eukaryota; Fungi; Basidiomycota; Agaricomycetes; Sebacinales. The record is from RNAcentral.
UUUGAAUCUGUCGUCUUUGGCGAUCGAGUUGUAAUCUAGAGAAGUGUUUUCUGCCUUGGACCACACAUAAAUUCCCUGGAAUGGGGUGUCAAAGAGGGUGAGAAUCCCGUUUGUGGUGUGGACUCCCUUGGCUCUGUGAUACACUCUCAACGAGUCGAGUUGUUUGGGAAUGCAGCUCAAAAUGGGUGGUAAAUUCCAUCUAAAGCUAAAUACUGGCGAGAGACCGAUAGCGAACAAGUACCGUGAGGGAAAGAUGAAAAGCACUUUGGAAAGAGAGUGAAACAGUACGUGAAAUUGUUGAAAGGGAAGCGUUUGAAGUCAGUCACGUCGUCUGGGACUCAGCCUUGCUUCUGCUUGGUGUACUUCCCAGUCAACGAGUCAGCAUCAGUUUCGACCGUGGGAGAAAGACUUGGGGAAUGUGGCUCCUCGGAGUGUUAUAGCCUCUUGUUGUAUGUCUCGGUUGGGACUGAGGAUCGCAGCGCGCCUUACGGCCGGGGUUCGCGCCCUCGGUACGCGCUUAGGAUGUUGGCAUAAUGGCUUUAAGCGACCCGUCUUGAAACACGGACCAAGGAGUCUAACAUGUGCGCAAGUGUUUAGGUGUUAAACCUGGGCGCGUAAUGAAAGUGAAAGGUCGGGAUCAUGUACUUGUGCACCGACGCCCGGAGCAGACCUUCUGUGACGCAUCCGCGGUAGAGCGUAUAUGUUGGGACCCGAAAGAUGGUGAACUAUGCCUGAAUAGGGUGAAGUCAGAGGAAACUCUGAUGGAGGCUCGUAGCGAUUCUGACGUGCAAAUCGAUCGUCAAAUUUGGGUAUAGGGGCGAAAGACUAAUCGAACCAUCUAGUAGCUGGUUCCUGCCGAAGUUUCCCUCAGGAUAG